UGCGUUGUGGCUCAGCGGUAGAGCGAUCGCCUAGUGUGUGGGAGGCCCUGGGUUCAAUCCUCAGCACCACAU
RNAcentral lists this transfer RNA (72 nucleotides) under Marmota monax (woodchuck). It matches the Rfam family "tRNA". From Rfam's summary of the family: Transfer RNA (tRNA) molecules are approximately 80 nucleotides in length. Their secondary structure includes four short double-helical elements and three loops (D, anti-codon, and T loops). Further hydrogen bonds mediate the characteristic L-shaped molecular structure. tRNAs have two regions of fundamental functional importance: the anti-codon, which is responsible for specific mRNA codon recognition, and the 3' end, to which the tRNAs corresponding amino acid is attached (by aminoacyl-tRNA synthetases). tRNAs cope with the degeneracy of the genetic code in two manners: having more than one tRNA (with a specific anti-codon) for a particular amino acid; and 'wobble' base-pairing, i.e. permitting non-standard base-pairing at the 3rd anti-codon position. The record is from Rfam by way of RNAcentral. Lineage: Eukaryota; Metazoa; Chordata; Mammalia; Rodentia; Sciuridae.